Aedes albopictus (Asian tiger mosquito) is the source of this 74-nucleotide non-coding RNA. Lineage: Eukaryota; Metazoa; Arthropoda; Insecta; Diptera; Culicidae. The record is from Rfam.
UGUUCUGUGGCUUAGUUGGUUGAGGCGCCGGUCUAGCGAAUACGGAGUCGUGGGUUCGAAUCCCACCAGAACGC